Non-coding RNA from Stegodyphus mimosarum, 73 nucleotides. The record is from Rfam. NCBI's taxonomy places the organism in Eukaryota, Metazoa, Arthropoda, Arachnida, Araneae, Eresidae.
GCCUUCGUGUUGUAGCGGUCAGCCCGCUCGACGCGUAUUCGAGAGGUCCGUGGUUCGAGUCCCGGCGAGGGCA